RNAcentral lists this ribosomal RNA (377 nucleotides) under uncultured eukaryote. Its description in RNAcentral is "partial 18S ribosomal RNA". It matches the Rfam family "Eukaryotic small subunit ribosomal RNA", at positions 592 to 976 of the family's 1831-position model. The record is from RNAcentral.
CAAUAGCGUAUAUUAAAGUUGUUGCAGUUAAAAAGCUCGUAGUUGGAUUUCGGGGCAGCCUGGCUGGUCCGCCGCAAGGCGAGUACUGGUCAGCCGCCCUUCCUCUCGAAAGCCCCGACUGCUCUUUAUUGCAGUGGUCGGGUAGUUCGGGACGUUUACUUUGAAAAAAUUAGAGUGUUCAAGGCAGACCUACGCCUGAAUACAUUAGCAUGGAAUAAUGGAAGAGGACCUCGGUCCUAUUUUGUUGGUUUCCAGGACCGAAGUAAUGAUUAAGAGGGACAGUUGGGGGCAUUCGUAUUUAAUUGUCAGAGGUGAAAUUCUCGGAUUUAUGAAAGACGAACAACUGCGAAAGCAUUUGCCAAGGAUGUUUUCAUUAA